GAGUAACGCGUGGGAACGUACCCUUCACUACGGAAUAGCUUCUGGAAACGGAAGGUAAUACCGUAUACGCCCUCCGGGGGAAAGAUUUAUCGGUGAAGGAUCGGCCCGCGUUAGAUUAGUUUGUUGGUGGGGUAAUGGCCUACCAAGACUACGAUCUAUAGCUGGUCUGAGAGGAUGAUCAGCCACACUGGGACUGAGACACGGCCCAGACUCCUACGGGAGGCAGCAGUGGGGAAUCUUGCACAAUGGGCGAAAGCCUGAUGCAGCCAUGCCGCGUGAAUGAUGAAGGCCUUAGGGUUGUAAAAUUCUUUCGCCAGGGAUGAUAAUGACAGUACCUGGUAAAGAAGCCCCGGCUAACUUCGUGCCAGCAGCCGCGGUAAUACGAAGGGGGCUAGCGUUGUUCGGAAUUACUGGGCGUAAAGCGCGCGUAGGCGGGCUAUUAAGCCAGAUGUGAAAGCCCGGGGCUCAACCUCGGAAUUGCAUUUGGAACUGGUAGCCUAGAGACCAGGAGAGGUUAGCGGAAUACCGAGUGUAGAGGUGAAAUUCGUAGAUAUUCGGUGGAACACCAGUGGCGAAGGCGGCUAACUGGACUGGUACUGACGCUGAGGCGCGAAAGUGUGGGGAGCAAACAGGAUUAGAUACCCUGGUAGUCCACACCGU
Molecule: ribosomal RNA, 660 nt
Filed under: Henriciella algicola
Lineage: Bacteria; Pseudomonadati; Pseudomonadota; Alphaproteobacteria; Hyphomonadales; Hyphomonadaceae
Description: bacterial SSU rRNA
Rfam family: Bacterial small subunit ribosomal RNA
Source: RNAcentral